Molecule: ribosomal RNA, 180 nt
Filed under: uncultured Glomeromycotina
Lineage: Eukaryota; Fungi; Glomeromycota
Description: partial small subunit ribosomal RNA
Rfam family: Eukaryotic small subunit ribosomal RNA (bases 91-180)
Source: RNAcentral
GGCCUGGCUGGGCGGUCUUGCCGAAAGGUAAGCACUGCUCUGGUCGGGUCUUUCCUUCUGGGGAACCAGUGUGCUCUUAGUUGAGUGCGCUGGGGAUCCAGGACUUUUACUUUGAAAAAAUUAGAGUGUUUAAAGCAGGCAAUCGCUUGAAUACAUUAGCAUGGAAUAAUAGAAUAGGAC